This is a long non-coding RNA of Paramisgurnus dabryanus, 766 nucleotides long. RefSeq lists it as uncharacterized. NCBI's taxonomy places the organism in Eukaryota, Metazoa, Chordata, Actinopteri, Cypriniformes, Cobitidae. The record is from RefSeq and is a predicted model, not a curated record.
CUUUUGUGUGUAAGUGUGCAUUAGUACAUGCUAACGAUAUUCAAAAAGUACAUACCUCAAAGAAAACGAUGACGCGAGUUAUCGUCUCUAACGUUCGAGGACUACAAAAAACACUCGGAUUGUAGGCAACAGUUUACUUCCUGGGAUUAGUGACGUAGAUAAGACCAACAUUAUCAUAGUUCAGCCCUCUCUGCUUUGCUUGGGUACGCCCUCAAAGACGGGGGUGGGGAGCGCUGAGUCAGGAGAGAGCUAAAAUGGCGGAGGUUGUGAGUCCCUGCUUUGACUCUGUUUGCAAACUCUUGUUUCAUUGUUUAAGCGAUUAAAUCUCUCGAGUAGACGCUGUCUCUUUAGAUGCGAGGGCAAAAUAGCACUUUAUGGACUUCCACAGAGGACAUCAUGUUUAAUACGGUUCCGGAAAAAUCCAGUCAGAAUUUGUUCACGGAGUUUUCACAAUAACUGCUUCUCAUGAACCGAAGCUGGAUUUGCACGACGUCUCCUCUUGAAAGUUGGAUUACUGUGCACUUCUGGAUCACAGGCUAUUCGCAGCUGUACACAUCCUUCUACACUGUAUGCAAACAUGCAACAUCAUAACACACAGUACAAGGAGUCAGACUGGCAUAUGAGGAGCAAAGGAACCCAGGCAGUAGCAUCGUUUCACAAUGUUUCCAUCACCAUCAUCAGUGGAUGCCUUUGCCGUCCGUAGCCUGAUAUUUCAGAUUUGCAGCAAAAAAAAUUUGAUUUUCUCAUUUAUUGGAAUGCUGUGCAG